This is a transfer RNA of 103 nucleotides. It matches the Rfam family "tRNA". Rfam says of the family: Transfer RNA (tRNA) molecules are approximately 80 nucleotides in length. Their secondary structure includes four short double-helical elements and three loops (D, anti-codon, and T loops). The record is from Rfam.
GCCCGGAUCGUAUAACGGUUAGUACAAUGGUCUCAUAUCUCGGUAUGAGGUUGCCCAAGGCACCCGAAAUCCAUAAAUCUGAGUUCGAUUCUCAGUCCGUGAG